Malus domestica (apple) is the source of this 1269-nucleotide long non-coding RNA. RefSeq lists it as uncharacterized. The record is from RefSeq and is a predicted model, not a curated record. NCBI's taxonomy places the organism in Eukaryota, Viridiplantae, Streptophyta, Magnoliopsida, Rosales, Rosaceae.
UUACUACCUUGCCCUGCUGUCCACGCGUCCGUGUGCUAUACGAACUCUCGAGGUUUCGAUUUGGGCCACGCGUCGAUCAUCGUUGGAUGCCCUGUUUUGACUGUGUUUGCUUUACCUUUCGUUUUCCUUCUUUCUUUUGCAAAUUUGCUCAGUUGCUUACCCCUCUGUGUUUCUCUCACUCUCAAACGUUUUCCACCUGCAUCUUCCUUCGGUUUAACUUUCGAUUUCGUUUUGCUUUGUGCUUUCUCGCUGUCAAAUGAUGUUCUAUUUUUGUGAGAGUCGUCAUCCCAAAACGUUGUUGUCUUUCUGUGAGAGAGUUGUAUAAAAAAUUUCCAAAUAUUUGUCUCUCUCUGAGUCUGGGAUUUGGGUCUAUUUGGAAGGCCUCUUCGCAUCUGUGAAGCUGAGGAGCAGCAGUUUGAGAUUGUUGAGUUGAGUCGUCUCCAAAAAUCCAACCCCCACACUGUAUCAGGAUCCAUCACCAUCUCGCGGUGCCUUGCUCAAAUCGGCUCUGCACUCAUCAUCAAGACUCUGCCUUCACGGAGGACUCCACUUAUCCCGUCACUGAUAAAGGGGUUUCUCAAUCUGUUGUCUGGACUGAAGAAAAGGAGGAUGGGGCUCUCAAAAAUUUCAUAUCCGAGAAAAGACAAAGGACUUUAAGGACAUCCUCAAGGUGCAGCGGUAGAAUCAAACUCUCGAGUUGUGUUUGGUUACUCCAUCAAAACUCCUACCCAAAUUGAUUUGUUCUCAAAACAAUCUCAUAAAAUAACAAUAGUGAACAACUAACAGAACUUCGACUGAAAUUGUUCUUGGGUUGCUGAUAAAAAGUCUCCUCAGCAACCAAAUGGAGGGUUAGGUAUCUUGGAAAUAUUUAUGUGCAUUGAAUUAGGUAUGAAUCGGUAGAAGAUUGUGCAGACGAUGAUGAAGCAAAGCAGGUGAUUUACAAUAAUGUGUAUGAAAAACAUUUGAAUGCUGAGAACCUAUUAUAUUCGCAACAUGAUACAACAGAUCAACACCUUCAUCAGCAUAGGUGGUAUUAAUUUUCCUUUGACUAGAAAUUUAGAGGCUUAAGAAGUUAGCAUGAGAUUUUCGCAUGACAUGGAUGAUGAAUAUGAGAAACUCAUCUGGGGAAUGAACCCACCAAGGUAUAUGCAAAAAUCAUUCCUUUGGGUUCAUAUAGAAGUAUGAUUGAACAUUAGAAUCAUAGAAUGUAAAUAAAUAAAUUUUAAUAUAGAUGAGAAUAAAUUUAAUAUAUUUCACAUGUUUAACACA